GCCAGAGUGACUAUACCAUUAGGACCUGUGUUUUCUGGAAUGUAAGUGCAACAAGUCAUAGUGUCGGGAAGUAUUUUACAGACCCCCCUUUUUCGGCUAAGAUCAUGUCUAAGGCUAGUCUGUUCUGGAAGGUCAUUUGGGAUGUGGCCUGUAAUUGCUCGGCCAAGCCCUGGAGGGCAUCCCUGGUGUAGUUCACGAAGCGCUGUUGGUUGUAAUAGAUAUAAUUAAUCCAAUUAAGGUUUUUGAUGGCAGUGACUAUGGUAAAAAGUGAUUCAAAACCUACAGCUACUUCAUCUCUAGCUUUAAAUUCAUUAGGUACCCCCCUAGGCACCCCAAUGGCAUCUAUGUAAAUGUGGGGGUCAAAACUGCCUUUUACUGGGGUUUCGCACCUUACUCUGGCUGAUGUAUGUGGAGGGUCGUAUGUGUCAUGAUGAUUAUCAGAAAUAAUAUGAAUGGGCAUGAUAACUUUGGCCAGGGUACACUCACCCCACCACUCAGUUUCCAGCCUAGAUCUUAACUGUAGAUCCCCACAUAACCAGUAAAUAUCCC
Non-coding RNA from Pelobates cultripes (western spadefoot toad), 549 nucleotides. NCBI's taxonomy places the organism in Eukaryota, Metazoa, Chordata, Amphibia, Anura, Pelobatidae. The record is from the annotation of a GenBank genome assembly.